This 501-nucleotide ribosomal RNA is filed under the name uncultured bacterium. Its description in RNAcentral is "partial 16S ribosomal RNA". It matches the Rfam family "Bacterial small subunit ribosomal RNA", at positions 29 to 523 of the family's 1533-position model. The record is from RNAcentral.
AUUGAACGCUGGCGGCAUGCCUUACACAUGCAAGUCGAACGGCAGCACGGGUGCUUGCACCUGGUGGCGAGUGGCGAACGGGUGAGUAAUACAUCGGAACGUACCUUAUCGUGGGGGAUAACGCAGCGAAAGCUGUGCUAAUACCGCAUACGCCCUGAGGGGGAAAGCGGGGGAUCGAAAGACCUCGCGCGAUUAGAGCGGCCGAUGCCUGAUUAGCUUGUUGGUGGGGUAAAAGCCCACCAAGGCGACGAUCAGUAGCUGGUCUGAGAGGACCAUCAGCCGCAAUGGGACUGAGACAACGCCCAGACUCCUAAGGGAGGAAGGAAGGGGGAAUUUUUGGCAAAGGGGGCAACCCUGAUCCAGCAAUGCCGCGUGAGUGAAGAAGGCCUUCGGGUUGUAAAGCUCUUUUGUCAGGGAAGAAACACCGGCUCUAACACAGUCCGGGAAUGACGGUACCUGAAGAAUAAGCACCGGCUAACUACGUGCCAGCCGCCGCCGUAA